UACAGAGGGGGCAAGCGUUGUUCGGAAUUACUGGGCGUAAAGCGUGCGCAGGCGGUUAUGCAAGACAGAUGUGAAAUCCCCGGGCUCAACCUGGGAACUGCAUUUGUGACUGCAUGGCUAGAGUGCGGCAGAGGGGGAUGGAAUUCCGCGUGUAGCAGUGAAAUGCGUGAGAUAUGCGGAGGAACACCGAUGGCGAAGGCAAUCCCCUGGGCCUGCACUGACGCUCAUGCACGAAAGCGUGGGGAGCAAACAGG
RNAcentral lists this ribosomal RNA (254 nucleotides) under uncultured bacterium. RNAcentral describes it as "partial 16S ribosomal RNA". It matches the Rfam family "Bacterial small subunit ribosomal RNA", at positions 524 to 776 of the family's 1533-position model. The record is from RNAcentral.